Notolabrus celidotus (New Zealand spotty) is the source of this 536-nucleotide long non-coding RNA. RefSeq lists it as uncharacterized. NCBI's taxonomy places the organism in Eukaryota, Metazoa, Chordata, Actinopteri, Labriformes, Labridae. The record is from RefSeq and is a predicted model, not a curated record. The transcript has 3 exons.
GGAAGGAUUCAGGAGCUCACUUCCUCCCCUCUUUGUUCCUCCUCACUGAUUGGCUGCUGUCUGCACUCGUUGUCACUCCUCGUUAGCCUGAUUGAAGUCACCUGAUCACACUACAUUUAAAGACUGCUCUCCCUCAGGCUCACUCUUUUUUGACCUUCACACGGAGCAGCAGGUCAGUGAUGAUCAGUGAUGCAUCCUGAAGACAUAUUAAGAGAGAAACUGGCUGCAUCCUGACCUGAUGAUGAAAGUUAACCUGUACAUUUGAACCUCAUGCUCAACACUUUGUGACUUCUCUCUACCAUCUCUUCUUAAAUAUGCAGGGCUUUCUCAGGCCUCACCUGUGGCUACUUCUUUGAGAAGAAAUAAGCUGGCUGAUCACAUGUGGGCACAUCCUUAUAACAACAUUCUGAACUGUUCGAUAUUUCAGCUCCAGUUUGGUUUGAUACAGAUUCAUCAUGUGCUAAAUUGAUUUUGUUUUUAAUAGUGUUUGAAUGGCAUCCUUUAUUCCUGAAUGUGAAUAAAAUAUUUCAUGACUG